This is a long non-coding RNA of Engraulis encrasicolus (European anchovy), 334 nucleotides long. RefSeq lists it as uncharacterized. The record is from RefSeq and is a predicted model, not a curated record. Lineage: Eukaryota; Metazoa; Chordata; Actinopteri; Clupeiformes; Engraulidae. The transcript has 3 exons.
UGAGGACACCCUGAGCAGAGAGCUCCAAUAGACCCAGGUCCAGUGUCUUGGCAGGGUGAACUGGCACUGAUAUGGUGUCCUGCAGGAUGCUGUGUCCUGCAAUCCUGUGUGCUGUGCUACAGACGCGUGUGGAGGUCAACCCAAAAUGGGCACAGUCUCACCACAGAAGAGUGAAAGAGGCUCCCAGAAGUGAGACUGAGUGCCUGUUGCAGUAUGACGAGGACGCAGUGACCAGAGACCUUCAGUAGACCCUGGCUGAAGAACAUGAAAUCAACUGCAAUGUUUAUAAUGUUGUACAUACCUGUAUAGUCUGUAUUAAAAGGCAGUACCUGUA